GAAGACAAUUGUGUUAUUUAUAGUUAUUACAUUUUAAUGUUGAUUAUUGUUCAUAACAAUCGUGCUAUCUUACGAUUACUCGUGUACAAUUUGCUCUAGAAUCCAACAAUCUUCUCAUUUCAUCUUGGGAUUCUAGUAUUAGGUUGGUGGAUGUGGAAAGCAGUAAGCUUAGAUUAGAAGUUCAAACAGAAGCUGCAGUACUUGAUUGCUGUUUUCAGAAUGCGUUUGUUUCUUUCUCUGCUGCUUCUGAUGGAUCCAUUUUCAGUCGAAAUUUACCUAAAAAGGUAAGAAAGAAUGAAAAUCGAAGGAAGACAAUGAGAAAGGGAGAGAAUGUAGGAGAGAUAAGGAGGAACUUAAGGUGGAAUUGUACUCUUAGUAUCCCUAUGGUUUACAGCCAGUUGUACCCUUUUGAAGUUCUGUUGAAUUAUACUUCAGGAAUCAUUCAUCAUGUUAGACUUGAAGGUAUGAAACUAUGAAUUCAACUAUUUAUUUUAAUUUGCUUGAGUUGUUUGUAAUUUUGAUUAGUUUUUAUCAAUUUGUUUAUGUGGUUGUCCUUUUGAUGAAUCUUUGAAUUUGUUUUUUAAAUGAAUUUGGUGCAUAAAAUCUACUUUUUUUUUUGUGUAGUAGUAAUUAAUGAUUAUCUGUCUUGGUUUGUCUUGGUUUAUCCAGCUGAUAGAUUUUGAAAGUUAAAGUUUCUGAUUUUUAUGGGUUACCGGUAAAAUAGACCUACACUUUUGAGGGCUGGUUUUACUCUAGAAAUAUGAUGUAUUGUUCAAUGAGGUUAUGAAGUUCCAUCUUCUCUGAUUUCCUGGUCUUUAGCUGAAUAUUAAUGUCAGUAACAACUAAAGCUUGUGAAAUAUCAAAAUGUAUCUGUUGAAUAACAUAAUUAGUCAAGUUCAUGUGUUUGCAAUAGAAUAUUAUUCCAUGUCCUUGCAAUUCGCAGGAUAUAAUUCCCCUUUUGUCUUGCACCAAUUCACCCAAUCAUAUUUACAUAUUUAAUAGCAGUUUCUUUUUUAUAUCGUUGGACUCUGUUAUCAUACGUGUUCUCAUAUUUUAUUUUUGUAAUUAUAUGCUUAAGGCAAUAAGGCCUCUGAGCCGUCAAAAGGAAGCCUUUACUUCUCUUAAUGCUUAAUUAAUUCUACAUUACAGUAGUCUUCAUGUAUGUGUAGUCUUCAUGUAUGUGUUUAAUGGCCUGCAGUGGCUCCAUCAAUCAUUUCGAACUAAGUAGUAAUUAUUGUGCAUUUGUUGAUCCAACUAUCUAAUCUUUUGAAUUUUGCCACCAAUUUAGGUAUAUAUUCUUUUUUCUGGCAGCUUAUAGAAUGGAUAUGCUCCUAAAAGCUUUAUUCAUCUUGACAUUUGGCAGUAAUAUUAAUCAAUUCUACUAAUCACUCAGCUAAGUCUUCUCUCUCCAUUUUUAGUUUUUAUUGAAUUAUUUCAAUUUUAUCUUAUUUAGGUUAGUUGUAUUGGAAAAUAUAUUUGGAUGCCAGCAACUGUGAUCUGUUGUUGGCCGGGGGUAUUAUAUAUGCUUGGUUGCGUUUGGUGAUGUGAAGUUCACUGUUGGUGUUGGGAGUGUGAUUAUGAUAUGAUAUUGAUUAUGAUUAUGAGAUUGUUAUGUUGAUUAUAUAUGUCUAUGAUAUUGAUUGAGAUUAUGAUUAUGAGAUAG
Chenopodium quinoa (quinoa) is the source of this 1663-nucleotide long non-coding RNA. RefSeq lists it as uncharacterized. Lineage: Eukaryota; Viridiplantae; Streptophyta; Magnoliopsida; Caryophyllales; Amaranthaceae. The record is from RefSeq and is a predicted model, not a curated record. The transcript has 3 exons.